UUUUAAUACCAUGAAAGAGUUUAUUCGUAAUUGGGAAAACAAACAGACAAAUCUUACGAUAGAUACAAUUAUCAAGGUCAUAAACACAUCAACUGAAGAACUAAAUGAUUGUUCACUUUAAUUAGACACAACGAACAAACAAAAGACGAGAACUUAGUAAAAAUUUAUAGCGUAGAGCAAUCUUGGUACGAUUGGUAGUAGUCCUGUUUAGGUCAGAACCGGGG
This 224-nucleotide long non-coding RNA is filed under the name Capsella grandiflora. RNAcentral's name for it is "long non-coding RNA (CGRA_LNC001659)". The record is from RNAcentral. Lineage: Eukaryota; Viridiplantae; Streptophyta; Magnoliopsida; Brassicales; Brassicaceae.